UACAACUUUAUCUUUAUUUAUACAGCUGUU
RNAcentral lists this non-coding RNA (30 nucleotides) under Rattus norvegicus (Norway rat). The record is from RNAcentral. Lineage: Eukaryota; Metazoa; Chordata; Mammalia; Rodentia; Muridae.